AUUGAACGCUGGCGGCAUGCUUUACACAUGCAAGUCGAACGGCAGCGGGGGCUUCGGCCCGCCGGCGAGUGGCGAACGGGUGAGUAAUGCAUCGGAACGUGCCCAGUCGUGGGGGAUAACACAUCGAAAGAUGUGCUAAUACCGCAUACGUCCUGAGGGAGAAAGCGGGGGAUCUUCGGACCUCGCGCGAUUGGAGCGGCCGAUGUCGGAUUAGCUAGUUGGUGGGGUAAAAGCCCACCAAGGCGACGAUCCGUAGCGGGUCUGAGAGGAUGAUCCGCCACACUGGGACUGAGACACGGCCCAGACUCCUACGGGAGGCAGCAGUGGGGAAUUUUGGACAAUGGGGGCAACCCUGAUCCAGCCAUGCCGCGUGAGUGAAGAAGGCCUCGGUUGUAAGACUCUUUCGUACGGAAGAAAUACGCCGCCUCUAACAUAGGCGGUGGAUGACGGUACCGUAAGAAGAAGACACCGGCUAACUACGUAGCCAGCAGCCGCG
Molecule: ribosomal RNA, 496 nt
Filed under: uncultured bacterium
Lineage: Bacteria
Description: bacterial SSU rRNA
Rfam family: Bacterial small subunit ribosomal RNA
Source: RNAcentral